AAUAUAAUGUGACAGUUAUUUUUAACUAUACCAACUCUUUGGCCUUGUGGUUACAGUGUCCGUUCUCAGAAUGGAAGGUUGGGAGUUUGAUCCUGGGCCGAGUCACAACAAAAGAUGCUUGGCACUCAGCAUUAAGGAGACAGAUUUGGGGUAACGGCCCUAAGGCAAACUAGCAUCCUUGUCCAGGGGGUUUACUUGUACACCAAGCUGCCUCAGGAAUAGAAGAUCUGCUCCAAUGAGCUGAUCUGGCUCAGCCAAGGCUUCAUACUUAUAGUCAAGAUGAUGAUGAACUGGUAUUAUAAAAUACUAUGUAUUUGCAGUUAUUGAACGAGUGGAUGUUUGGAGAAUAAACAAAAAACACUAGUAACAUCCAACAAAUACAUAAUUUAUUACUCCAAACGUCAUCAGAGCAUUUCAUAAAUACCACAGGACAUUAGAUCUUGGGACGUUAGCCCAACCAAAACAGUGACAAAAUCUUGCACAAAAUAUCUUGAAAAGAAACAUAUAGUAAACAUUGAACUGGUACAGCACUUCCAUUCAGACCACACAGCAAGUCCACCUACAGAUACAGAUAAGCCUAUUUGAUGUAUGAAGUGUGAUUGUGCCAAAAAACGGUCUCUAAUUGCACCCUAUUGCCUAUGUAGUGCACUACGUUUGAAGAGAGCCCUAUUGGCCCUGUAGGGAAUAGGGUGCCAUUUGGGAUGCAGGUUAAGAGUAUUUAGUCUGUGGUAGCAUAAACAUUAAUGACUAGACACUGGCAUAGGUACACAGUUAUGUACACUAAAACAACAACAACAAAUAAAACAGCUUCUAUUAUCUGAACAGCCAUCACUAGCCGUCUACCAGGGGAUGCACACUCACUGACACAAGCUAUCACACCCCUCAUACUCACAAAACACAUACACUCACACACACAGGCAUACAAGCAGCUGCCGGUGCUAUCCAGUGUUGUAAAUACAUUGAACCACUGGACGUUUCCCGUUUCACAUUGAGAAUUGAAAUACUGUACUCCCGACACAGCUCAUUCUGAUAUUUCUACUACUGUACUUUGUGUUUAGUUACACUGUUUUAUACACAUCGCAUAUUUAUUUAUACACCGGAUUCUUGACAUAGCUCAGUAAUAUCAGUGGUGAUAUUUUGAUACUGAAGUACCUUGUUAAAAAUACAUUAAAGUACUCCUUAAAAGUCGUUUUUGAGGUAUCUAUACUUUACUAUUUCUAUUUUUGACAACUUUUUUUUUAUUACUACAUUCCUAAAGAAAACAAUGUACUUUUUACUCCAUACAUUUUCCCUGACCCUCAAAUGUACCCGUUACAUUUUUUAUGCCUUGCAGGACAUAUUGUUCAAUUCAUGCAUUUAUCAAGAGAACAUCCCUGGUCUUCCCUGGUGCCUAUGAUCUGUCUGACUCACUAAACACACAUGCCUUGUUGGUAAAUUGUCUGAAUGUUGGAGUGUGUCCCUGGCUAACUGUGCAUUUUAAAAACAAGAAAAUGGUGCUGUCUGGUUUGCUUAAUAUAAGGAAUUUGAAAUGAUUUAUACUUUUUACUUUUGAUACUUAAGUAUAUUUCAGCAAUUACAUGUACAUUUGAUACUAAAGUAUAUUUUAGCAAUUACAUGUAUUUUUGAUACUGAAGUAUAUUUAAAACCAUAUACUUUUAGACUUUUAGUAGUAUUUUAAUUUAAUGAGUGACUGUCAAUUUUACUUGAGUCAUUUUCAAUUAAGGUAAAGUAUCUUUACUUUGACUCAAAUAUGACAACUGGGGACUUUUUCAACCACUGACUAAUAUACAGUAUGUACUGCUGCACAUAUCACUCUCAGUAGAUCUAGUGUAAAUCCUCCUGUGUAUAUACGUAUCGAUUGCAUCUGCAUUACUUUUACAGGGCAAUUUGGGUUGUUAAUUGUCCUGACUUUCUUGAUAUCUUUUUUUUGUUUAACUUUUUAAAAAUGUUUUAUUAUUAUUUGUGUACUUGUUCGACAUUUUACUGCAUUGUCAGAAACUAGAAAUGUACGUAAGCAUUUCAUAACAUCCGCUAAACUGUGGACACAAACUAUACACCUUGAUUUGUACCGUAGUGGAACCUGAUUCACCAACUUAGCAGUAGUUAAGUGUAUGAUGUCUAGCAGUUCAUGUUGGUACGUGUGUGUGUGUGUGUGUGUGUGUGUGUGUGUGUGUGUGUGUGUGUGUGUGUGUGUGUGUGUGUGUGUGUGUGUGUGUGUGGGUAUGUCUGGGUGGUCCUAAUGCCCCCCCAACCCCUACAUGGUGCUAGGCUGAAUGCUGCAGAGUCAGCUAGUUGGUUCUAGAAUCAUUGCACAUAAUGACAACGUCUCUCUCUCAGUUUGGCUGUCUAGAGACACAGAUUUUAUACUACACCACCUUAUUUAGGAAACACACACAGGGCCGGCCCUAGGCAUAAGAAACAUAGGCAACCAGUUUUUUGGGAACUCAGUCAGGGUCUCAGGUUAAUGUUGAGCGUUAGAACAGUACAAUAAACAUGGUGUAAUUUCGAAAUUUGGUUGUGCAUCUGGAGUUUUUGUGUAGAAAUGCAGGACAUUUGCUGUAAAAUUGCACAUUUAUCUCUCCACCCAAUGUCUCGAGGUGCAGCAAACGUGUUUAAUAAAAUAAUUCAAUGCCCUAUUGGCAAAAUGUGUAGAAUUGCAGUUAAUUAAAUUGCAUUUAAUUGACAAAAAAAUAAAUAAUAAUCUCUCCACUGUCAAGAGGGGAGCCACUAAAAUGUUUUGCCCGUGAGUUGGAAGAGGCCCAAAAGGCUAGGGCUGGCCCUGCAUGCAUGCACACAUGUGCACCCACACACACAUACACCAUGAUGAACUUUGACACACACAGAGCCAAGGUGCAUGGAGAGGUCAUGGCCAGGAGGAAGCAAGGUAGAUAAUCAAGGAGAGGACCAGGAGUGAGCAGAGUACAUGUCCAGGAGAGGACCAGGAGGGAGCAGAGUAGAUGUCCAGGAGAGGACCAGGAGGGAGCAGUGUAGAUGUCCAGGAGAGGACUCCGAAUUAACAGAGUAGAUGUCCAGGAGAGGACCAGGAGGGAGCAGAGUAGAUGUCCAGGAGAGGACCAGGAGGGAGCAGUGUAGAUGUCCAGGAGAGGACCAGGAGGGAGCAGUGUAGAUGUCCAGGAGAGGACCAGGAGGGAGCAGUGUAGAUGUCCAGGAGAGGACCAGGAGGGAGCAGAGUAGAUGUCCAGGAGAGGACCAGGAGGGAGCAGAGUAGGUGUCCAGGAGAGGACCAGGAGGGAGCAGUGUAAAUGUCCAGGAGAGGACCGGGAGGGAGCAGAGUAGAUGUCCAGGAGAGGACCAGGAGGGAGCAGUGUAGAUGUCCAGGAGAGGACCAGGAGGGAGCAGAGUAGAUGUCCAGGAGAGAACCAGGAGAGACCAGUGUAGAUGACCUGUUUAUGCUAGAUGUUCCUCUUUAGAAGCUUUUCUUUUUUUGACACAAAGACCACAGCAUUAAAGAAACGCACUGAAAUGUCCAAUACACACAGACAAACACAGAGCACACAUGCACGCUUUUACAGGGGAAUGCAUACCCUCUGGAUUUGCAUUUAUUCAAAUAUGGGUUCUUUAUGUCCAAGUCUAAAACCAUGUUUUCUUUUCAAUGUGUGGGUCUUUUCUGUAUAAUUUUCAGUUUUUGUAGGCUGCUGAUGCAAAUGUAGUGAGAUGGUCGGGUUACUAGAUUUGCACAUUCCACACAACAAUAAACAUUUAAAUAAUGAAUGCUUUUUAUAAUUUAUUUAUGAAUAAAAAAACUAAAUCCAAUAAAAAAACGGUGUUUAUUUGCUAUCACACAUUGACCCAUACUGACAUAUUUUUUGUGCUGCAGGGCUUUUGACAACAAUUGGCGCCGGCCAAAGCUACAGUACAGGACAAAGAGAUUCAUCCAAAAGAACAAAGUUCACAGAUUCAACACCAUCAGUUGACAACACUUGAGACGCAAAGCCACAACACACAGGCCACUAAAACUGUUUUAGACGGGUAGAAAACAGCCUGGCCAACAGUAGCUACAUUUAGCGUGGUUAUACUAUUGUCAUAGCACACUGUUGAUCACAAGACUGUUUACAGCUAGGGGAAGUGGUCGGGGCUAUGUGAAAAACAGCUAGGGGAAAUGGUCGGAGUUAUGUCUUAAACAGCUAGGGGAAAUGGUCGGAGUUAUGUCUUAAACAGCUAGGGGAAAUGGUCGGAGUUAUGUCUUAAACAGCUAGGGGAAGUGGUCGGGGUUAUGUCUUAAACAGCUAGGGGAAAUGGUCGGGGCUAUGUGAAAAACAGCUAGGGGAAAUGGUCUAGGGGAGUUAUGUCUUAAACAGCUAGGGGAGGUGGUCGGGGUUAUGUCUUAAACAGCUAGGGGAAAUGGUCGGGGCUAUGUGAAAAACAGCUAGGGGAAAUGGUCGGAGUUAUGUCUUAAACAGCUAGGGAAAUGGUCGGGGCUAUGUGAAAAACAAGGGAAAUGGUCGGAGUUAUGUCUUAAACAGCUAGGGAAAAAUGUCGGGGUUAUGUUUUAAACAGCUAGGGGAGGUGGUCGGGGUUAUGUCUUAAACAGCUAGGGGAAGUGGUCGGGGUUAUGUCUUAAACAGCUAGGGGAAGUGGUUGGGGUUAUGUCUUAAACAGCUAGGGGAGGUGGUCGGGGUUAUGUCUUAAACAGCUAGGGGAAGUGGU
This is a long non-coding RNA of Oncorhynchus tshawytscha (Chinook salmon), 4668 nucleotides long. The record is from Ensembl. Lineage: Eukaryota; Metazoa; Chordata; Actinopteri; Salmoniformes; Salmonidae.